RNAcentral lists this ribosomal RNA (516 nucleotides) under uncultured bacterium. Its description in RNAcentral is "partial 16S ribosomal RNA". It matches the Rfam family "Bacterial small subunit ribosomal RNA", at positions 28 to 523 of the family's 1533-position model. The record is from RNAcentral.
GACGAACGCUGGCGGCGUGCCUAAUACAUGCAAGUCGAGCGGACGUUUUUGAAGCUUGCUUCAAAAACGUUAGCGGCGGACGGGUGAGUAACACGUGGGCAACCUACCUUAUCGACUGGGAUAACUCCGGGAAACCGGGGCUAAUACCGGAUAACAUCUAGCACCUCCUGGUGCCGGAUUAAAAGAGGGCUUCUUGCUCUCACGAUGAGAUGGGCCCGCGGCGCAUUAGCUAGUUGGAGAGGGAACGGCUCCCCAAGGCGACGAUGCGUAGCCGACCUGGGAGGGUGAUCGGCCACACUGGGACUGAGACACGGCCCAGACUCCUACGGGAGGCAGCAGUAGGGAAUCUUCCGAAAUGGACGAAAGUCUGACGGAGCAACGCCGCGUGAGUGAUGAAGGGUUUCGGCUCGUAAAGCUCUGUUAUGAGGGAAGAACACGUGCCGUUCGAAUAGGGCGGUACCUUGACGGUACCUCAUCAGAAAGCCACGGCUAACUACGUGCCAGCCGCCGCAGUAA